CUACCAGCGACCACCUUCUCCAACGAGCAUGUAGGUGGUAAGUACAAUCUUCUGUUCAAGAACUACUCUAAGAGUUAUAAAGGUCUUCUCUAUCUCAGCUAACCAAUACUCGACAUCUUCAAAUGUGGAUACCCUUGCAAAAGUAAUUGGAUCUAGUCUUUUAUACAUUUCAAUAUAGUCUAGGUCCAUCAUGAAGUGGAACUGGGUCCCGUGAAAGAGGGAAUGGAUUGUAUUGGGGAGGGACCGAGUGGCCUUGUGGUGGUGUAAUAUGAUACGGUGAAAGGACGAGAUUGUAUUGUGGUGAUGCCGAAUGAUGCGAUGGAGGCACCAGAUUGUACUGUGGCGGUAUCGGAUGAUACGGUGGAGGAGCAGGGUUAUAUCGGGGUGGCUCUAGAUAUUUCUGCUGCAAGGGUGGCUAAGACUGUGGCAGUGGGGGAGGGUCAGGCAUCUCCCUCAUUUCCUUCCGGGCCUGCUAGGCAGAGAUGAGUCUCUCCAGCAUCUCAAAGAGUCGAUCAACAUCCUCUCAAAACGAGCCAUCCCGGGCUGCUCGGUUUAGUGGGAUCUUCAUUUCCUCAUAUCUUUGUACAUUCACUUCACAAGGAAUGGCUGAGCGAUAGUUAUAUUUGGUGUUUUUAAGUCUUUGUGUAAUAAAUGAUUUCGAGGAACGCGGCUCUGAUACCAACUAAAAUGGCCUGGAACCUUAAAAGAAGUGAAUUUAUAUUUUGAAAUGCGGAAGCAAAUAAUAAAGUUAGGGUUUACAUUUCUUACACACUAAAUUUUAAUGCUCAAUAGGGUUAC
This 798-nucleotide long non-coding RNA is filed under the name Carica papaya (papaya). RNAcentral describes it as "long non-coding RNA (CPAP_LNC016480)". Lineage: Eukaryota; Viridiplantae; Streptophyta; Magnoliopsida; Brassicales; Caricaceae. The record is from RNAcentral.